AGAGAUGUGUGAUGACGCAUAUCAAUAAGCGGAGGAAAAGAAACUAACAAGGAUUCCCUUAGUAACGGCGAGUGAAGCGGGAAGAGCUCAAAUUUGAAAUCUUCAAGGUUCUACCUUGACGAAUUGUAGUUUAUAGAAGUGUUUUCUGUUAGUAGAGUGGCAAAAGUUCUUUGGAAUAGGACAUCAUAGAGGGUGAGAAUCCCGUAUUUGGUCAUUCUUUCUAGCUUUGUGAUACACUUUCAACGAGUCGGAUUGUUUGGGAAUGCAGUCCAAAAUGGGUGGUAAAUUUCAUCUAAAGCUAAAUAUUGGCGAGAGACCGAUAGCGAACAAGUACCGUGAGGGAAAGAUGAAAAGAACUUUGAAAAGAGAGUUAAACAGUACGUGAAAUUGUCAAAAGGGAAGCGUUUGACACCAGUGUUGUUUUUCCGAAAAUCAAUUACGAAUGUUUUGUUUUUGAGGAGUUAUGACUUCAUCGGCUUGCUCCUUUCUUUACGAAACUUUCUUAAUGCACUUUUCGGUUAACAAGUCAACAUCAAUUUCUUUUGUUGUAAAAGGGUAUGAGGAAGGUGGCUUUCUUUUCGGAGAAAGUGUUUAUUGCCUUGUACCUCUGCAAUCGGAGAGAUUGAGGUCUGCAGCGUAGAUCCUUCGGGAUUAGAUACAUUUGUGCUAAGUUAUAGCUUUUCAUAGACAACUUGUUGACUAUGUUUAGUCUUGUAGCUUACUCGCUUAUGCUAUUUUACCUACGCUUAGGAUGUUGACAGCAGUAUAGACUGU
Molecule: ribosomal RNA, 774 nt
Filed under: uncultured Neocallimastigales
Lineage: Eukaryota; Fungi; Neocallimastigomycota; Neocallimastigomycetes; Neocallimastigales
Description: partial large subunit ribosomal RNA
Rfam family: Eukaryotic large subunit ribosomal RNA
Source: RNAcentral